RNAcentral lists this ribosomal RNA (253 nucleotides) under uncultured bacterium. Its description in RNAcentral is "partial 16S ribosomal RNA". It matches the Rfam family "Bacterial small subunit ribosomal RNA", at positions 524 to 776 of the family's 1533-position model. The record is from RNAcentral.
UACAGAGGUGGCAAGCGUUGUUCGGAAUUACUGGGCGUAAAGGGCGCGUAGGCGGCCUUCUAAGUCAGACGUGAAAUCCCCCGGCUUAACCUGGGAACUGCGUCUGAUACUGGGAGGCUUGAGUGCGGGAGAGGGAUGUGGAAUUCCAGGUGUAGCGGUGAAAUGCGUAGAUAUCUGGAGGAACACCGGUGGCGAAGGCGGCAUCCUGGACCGACACUGACGCUGAGGCGCGAAAGCUAGGGUAGCAAACGGG